AGAGUUUGAUCCUGGCUCAGAUUGAACGCUGGCGGCAUGCUUUACACAUGCAAGUCGAGCGGCAGCGCGGGGGCAACCCUGGCGGCGAGCGGCGAACGGGUGAGUAAUGCAUCGGAACGUGUCCCGUAGUGGGGGAUAACCCGGCGAAAGCCGGGCUAAUACCGCAUACGCCCUACGGGGGAAAGCAGGGGAUCUUCGGACCUUGCGCUAAUAGAUGAGCCUAAGUCGGAUUAGCUAGUUGGUGGGGUAAAGGCCUACCAAGGCGACGAUCUGUAGCGGGUCUGAGAGGAUGAUCCGCCACACUGGGACUGAGACACGGCCCAGACUCCUACGGGAGGCAGCAGUGGGGAAUAUUGGACAAUGGGGGCAACCCUGAUCCAGCCAUGCCGCGUGUGUGAAGAAGGCCUUCGGGUUGUAAAGCACUUUAAGCAGGGAGGAAGGCUCGCAACCUAAUACGUUGCGGGAGUGACGUUACCUGCAGAAUAAGCACCGGCAAACUCCGUGCCAGCAGCCGCGGUAAUA
This 522-nucleotide ribosomal RNA is filed under the name uncultured bacterium. RNAcentral describes it as "bacterial SSU rRNA". It matches the Rfam family "Bacterial small subunit ribosomal RNA", at positions 8 to 525 of the family's 1533-position model. The record is from RNAcentral.